This 253-nucleotide ribosomal RNA is filed under the name uncultured bacterium. RNAcentral describes it as "partial 16S ribosomal RNA". It matches the Rfam family "Bacterial small subunit ribosomal RNA", at positions 524 to 776 of the family's 1533-position model. The record is from RNAcentral.
UACGUAGGGUGCAAGCGUUGUCCGGAUUUAUUGGGCGUAAAGAGUUCGUAGGCGGUUCGUUAAGUCUGAUGUUAAAUAUCGGGGCUCAACCUCGGGAGUGCAUUGGAUACUGGCGGACUGGAGUGUGGUAGAGGUUAGUGGAAUUCCCAGUGUAGCGGUGAAAUGCGUAGAUAUUGGGAAGAACACCAGUGGCGUAGGCGACUAACUGGGCCAUAACUGACGCUGAGGAACGAAAGCCAGGGGAGCGAAUGGG